RNAcentral lists this ribosomal RNA (1033 nucleotides) under Cytospora thailandica. RNAcentral's name for it is "SSU rRNA". It matches the Rfam family "Eukaryotic small subunit ribosomal RNA", at positions 67 to 1112 of the family's 1831-position model. Lineage: Eukaryota; Fungi; Ascomycota; Sordariomycetes; Diaporthales; Cytosporaceae. The record is from RNAcentral.
UAGCACCUAAACGGCGAAACUGCGAAUGGCUCAUUAAAUCAGUUAUCGUAUAUUUGAUAGUACCUACUACAUGGAUAACCGUGGUAAUUCUAGAGCUAAUACAUGCUUAAAAUCCCGACUUCGGAAGGGAUGUAUUUAUUAGAUUAAAAACCAAUGCCCUUCGGGGCUCACUGGUGAUUCAUAAUAACUUCUCGAAUCGCAUGGCCUUGUGCCGGCGAUGGUUCAUUCAAAUUUCUGCCCUAUCAACUUUCGACGGCUGGGUCUUGGCCAGCCGUGGUUACAACGGGUAACGGAGGGUUAGGGCUUGACCCCGGAGAAGGAGCCUGAGAAACGGCUACUACAUCCAAGGAAGGCAGCAGGCGCGCAAAUUACCCAAUCCCGACACGGGGAGGUAGUGACAAUAAAUACUGAUACAGGGCUCUUUUGGGUCUUGUAAUUGGAAUGAGUACAAUUUAAAUCCCUUAACGAGGAACAAUUGGAGGGCAAGUCUGGUGCCAGCAGCCGCGGUAAUUCCAGCUCCAAUAGCGUAUAUUAAAGUUGUUGCAGUUAAAAAGCUCGUAGUUGAACCUUGGGCCUGGCUGGCCGGUCUGCCUCACCGCAUGCACUGGUCCGGCCGGGCCUUUCCCUCUGGGGAUCCGCAUGCCCUUCACUGGGUGUGUCGGGGAACCAGGACUUUUACUGUGAAAAAAUUAGAGUGUUCAAAGCAGGCCUAUGCUCGAAUACAUUAGCAUGGAAUAAUAGAAUAGGACGUUGCGGUUCUAUUUUGUUGGUUUCUAGGACCGCCGUAAUGAUUAAUAGGGACAGUCGGGGGCGUCAGUAUUCAAUCGUCAGAGGUGAAAUUCUUGGAUCGAUUGAAGACUAACUACUGCGAAAGCAUUCGCCAAGGAUGUUUUCAUUAAUCAGGAACGAAAGUUAGGGGAUCGAAAACGAUCAGAUACCGUUGUAGUCUUAACCAUAAACUAUGCCGACUAGGGAUCGGGCGAUGUUAUUUCUUGACUCGCUCGGCACCUUACACGAAAGUAAAGUUUUGGGU